GGGAAGGUGGCUCAGUGGUAGAGUGCUUGCCUUGCAUGCAUGAGGCCCUGGGUUCAAUUCCUCUGCACCCCA
Molecule: non-coding RNA, 72 nt
Organism: Dipodomys ordii (Ord's kangaroo rat)
Lineage: Eukaryota; Metazoa; Chordata; Mammalia; Rodentia; Heteromyidae
Source: Rfam